RNAcentral lists this ribosomal RNA (321 nucleotides) under Lacticaseibacillus casei. RNAcentral's name for it is "bacterial SSU rRNA". It matches the Rfam family "Bacterial small subunit ribosomal RNA", at positions 93 to 407 of the family's 1533-position model. The record is from RNAcentral. Lineage: Bacteria; Bacillati; Bacillota; Bacilli; Lactobacillales; Lactobacillaceae.
GAGUGGCGGACGGGUGAGUAACACGUGGGUAACCUGCCCUUAAGUGGGGGAUAACAUUUGGAAACAGAUGCUAAUACCGCAUAGAUCCAAGAACCGCAUGGUUCUUGGCUGAAAGAUGGCGUAAGCUAUCGCUUUUGGAUGGACCCGCGGCGUAUUAGCUAGUUGGUGAGGUAAUGGCUCACCAAGGCGAUGAUACGUAGCCGAACUGAGAGGUUGAUCGGCCACAUUGGGACUGAGACACGGCCCAAACUCCUACGGGAGGCAGCAGUAGGGAAUCUUCCACAAUGGACGCAAGUCUGAUGGAGCAACGCCGCGUGAGUG